AUUGAACGCUGGCGGCAGGCCUAACACAUGCAAGUCGAACGGUAACAGGAAGCAGCUUGCUGCUUCGCUGACGAGUGGCGGACGGGUGAGUAAUGUCUGGGAAACUGCCCGAUGGAGGGGGAUAACUACUGGAAACGGUAGCUAAUACCGCAUAACGUCGCAAGACCAAAGAGGGGGACCUCAGGGCCUCUUGCCAUCGGAUGUGCCCAGAUGGGAUUAGCUAGUAGGUGGGGUAACGGCUCACCUAGGCGACGAUCCCUAGCUGGUCUGAGAGGAUGACCAGCCACACUGGAACUGAGACACGGUCCAGACUCCUACGGGAGGCAGCAGUGGGGAAUAUUGCACAAUGGGCGCAAGCCUGAUGCAGCCAUGCCGCGUGUAUGAAGAAGGCCUUCGGGUUGUAAAGUACUUUGAGCGGGGAAGAAGAGAGUAAGGUUAAUACCUUGGCUCAUUGACGUUACCCAAAGAAGAAGCACCGGCUAACUCCGUG
RNAcentral lists this ribosomal RNA (490 nucleotides) under uncultured bacterium. RNAcentral's name for it is "partial 16S ribosomal RNA". It matches the Rfam family "Bacterial small subunit ribosomal RNA", at positions 30 to 507 of the family's 1533-position model. The record is from RNAcentral.